This 501-nucleotide ribosomal RNA is filed under the name uncultured bacterium. RNAcentral's name for it is "partial 16S ribosomal RNA". It matches the Rfam family "Bacterial small subunit ribosomal RNA", at positions 29 to 523 of the family's 1533-position model. The record is from RNAcentral.
AUUGAACGCUGGCGGCAUGCCUUACACAUGUAAGUCGAACGGCAGCACGGGUGCUUGCACCUGGUGGCGAGUGGCGAACGGGUGAGUAAUACAUCGGCACGUACCUUAUCGUGGGGGAUAACGCAGCGAAAGCUGUGCUAAUACCGCAUACGCCCUGAGGGGGAAAGCGGGGGAUCGCAAGACCUCGCGCGAUUAGAGCGGCCGAUGCCUGAUUAGCUAGUUGGUGGGGUAAAAGCCCACCAAGGCGACGAUCAGUAGCUGGUCUGAGAGGACGAUCAGCCACACUGGGACUGAGACACGGCCCAGACUCCUACGGGAGGCAGCAGUGGGGAACUUUGGACAAUGGGGGCAACCCUGAUCCAGCAAUGCCGCGUGAGUGAAGAAGGCCUUCGGGUUGUAAAGCUCUUUUGUCAGGGAAGAAACACCGGCUCUAACACAGUCCGGGAAUGACGGUACCUGAAGAAUAAGCACCGGCUAACUACGUGCCAGCCGCCGCAGUAA